This is a long non-coding RNA of Cloeon dipterum, 485 nucleotides long. RefSeq lists it as uncharacterized. Lineage: Eukaryota; Metazoa; Arthropoda; Insecta; Ephemeroptera; Baetidae. The record is from RefSeq and is a predicted model, not a curated record. The transcript has 3 exons.
GAAUGCGAACCGCGCGAGUGCUAAGGAAAAGCCGUUGGAUGUCGGCUCGUCAAAUAAUGCCGAUUUUCGGCUGAAUUUUCGCCCUCGAGUCGACCAGCAGGAGGCCAUGGAUGUUGGAGAAGCUCUUUUAUCCGCAAACAAUGCCAGACCUGACCCGUGCCCGCAGCCUGUUCUCGUGGCGUCGUGACAACAAUGCAACUCGUAACAACUGCGUAGCGCAUACAUACAUUCGCCCUGAAACUUGCGAUCCCCGGCACAGUGAAAUUGCUGAUCUGAAACCUACGCAGGAGUCCAAACCACCAAACCCUCGCUCCCUAACCUGAGCCAACCCCCAAAAGAGCUGCUUAGCAAGGUGGCCGCGCCGCCAACAGUCACAGGUCGUGUUCGCACCUAUGUAAAAGGUUCUUAAUGAAAAAUUUCCUCCUGUUGUCAAUAUUUUGUAAAUUUUAUAUGAAUUAUUAAACAUAGCACCUUGAACCUAAAAA